This 78-nucleotide transfer RNA is filed under the name Candidatus Omnitrophota bacterium. Its description in RNAcentral is "tRNA-Glu". It matches the Rfam family "tRNA". Rfam says of the family: Transfer RNA (tRNA) molecules are approximately 80 nucleotides in length. Their secondary structure includes four short double-helical elements and three loops (D, anti-codon, and T loops). Lineage: Bacteria; Pseudomonadati; Candidatus Omnitrophota. The record is from RNAcentral.
GGCCCCAUGGUCUAGCCUGGUCCAGGACGUCACCCUCUCACGGUGAAAACAGGGGUUCGAAUCCCCUUGGGGCUACCA